RNAcentral lists this long non-coding RNA (1542 nucleotides) under Eucalyptus grandis. The record is from RNAcentral. Lineage: Eukaryota; Viridiplantae; Streptophyta; Magnoliopsida; Myrtales; Myrtaceae.
GCUGAUGCCGCUCUCCUGAUGAGGCCAUGGCAGGCCGAAACCAGUUGUCGUCCCUAAAGAGAACUGCUGCCUUACUCGAUGGACUAGACGCCCGAGCAAAGCUGGGCGUGGUAGGAUCUCGCACGAAGAAUCAUUCACCGUAUCGUUCGUGGAACAGCUAAAGGAAGGGCUGGCCUGGCGAAUUCCGCUUGCUAGGCGCCCGCGGGUCGUUUCCGAGGCCAAGGAAACUCUCGGCCCGUGACAAGUGGUAUCAGAGCAGGAAUCCCUCCAGUAAGCGAGUGAGCAAGUCGGAGAAUCGGACUCCUCGCUCAAGUGCGGGUCAAGCAGACAAGUCCUGGUGGAUGGGUGCUAGGGCGAGUCGGCUUCUCGUCGAGCGGAAUGCGAGUUAGAGAAGAACCGAACCCUUGCUGAAUGGGGAUAACGUUCUUGGAUCGAUCAGUGAAUUCGAAGAAGAGGUCUACUUUCACGUUUUCAACAAGAAAAGAACCUCCGUUGGUCUGCUGGGGUCAAGAUGCUGAUUAGGCUGGAAUGGUGCUGCCAAAAGAUGCGGUUGGCGAAAAAUGCCACACUUGCCAAAAAGCGCAGGUGACUGAAGGGCCGAGCGGCUGAGAUCAAAAAAGGCCACCAAUGGAGCAAAACCUGUUUUGUUGGGCAAGCGUGACCGUUCGAUGUGAAUUCCCAAAAGUGGCACAUCAAUGGUUAACUUACGCAAGGAAGUGACAGAGCAGAGAUCGCAACGAGGGCGUUGCGAAUUGAGUGGGGGAGAAUGUCACGGUCCGUGAAUCCUCCCGUACUCGUGACACUUGUGAGUGGCGCUUGGGGUUAUCUGGUGAAGAGUAUGAGGCAGAAGGGUAGAACACAACUGGUCCGUGGGAGUGGCGUCAGGACGGUUGAUGCUAGGAGUUCUAGGAUAGAAGGAUUAUAUCACUUAGGAGCUCUGAAGACGGGGUAGGCCUCCUGUGCACAAACUGGUCGGAAGCUGAUGCCGCUCUCCUGACGAGGCCAUGGCAGGCCGAAACCAGUUGUCGUCCCUAAAGAGAACUGCUGCCUCUCCCCCAUGGACUAGACACCCGAGCAACCCCCCGGCGUGGUAGGAUCUCGCACGAAGAAUCAUUUACCGUAUCGUUCGUGGAACAGCUAAAGGAAGGGCUGGCCUGGCGAAUUCCGCUCGCUAGGCGCCCGUGGGUCGUUUCCGAGGCCAAGGAAACUCUCGACCCGUGACACAAGCACCCAGCAUUUUCUCAAAAUGAAAAAACUUUUGCAAUGGGGCCCAAACGCAGCUAGAUAAAGCUGAGCUCAAAGCGCAUUUGGAUGUUCAUGCAAAAGAAUCCUUUCUUUCGGUUUCAAACAGCACUAGGUAAAGCUGCUUUGCCCUCUUUUCUUUUUCAACAAGCUUUGAUCUCGAAAGAUCAUGAAGCAAGACAAAUUAUUGUAUGAAAACUAUGUCACAAUAUGAUGUGGAAAUUAUUGUGUUGAACAGGCCUACAUGCGUUGUGUUCGUUGAAAUUAUUAAAUUUGGUAGGUCUCAUGUGUAAUUUACCG